RNAcentral lists this unclassified non-coding RNA (266 nucleotides) under Hevea brasiliensis (rubber tree). Lineage: Eukaryota; Viridiplantae; Streptophyta; Magnoliopsida; Malpighiales; Euphorbiaceae. The record is from RNAcentral.
CUCUCUCUCUUCUCUCUGGCCUGCGAAAGCUAGGAGAAUAGGAGAAGGCAUCGCCAUUGCCCAUUUAUCGGGCCAAGAAAUUCGGAUUCUCUCAGAUCCGGAUAGUAUAAAAAAUCUUCCAUCUAUCCGAUCCGAAUCAGCGAUGACUAGGCGGUGCUCGCAUUGCAGCCACAACGGUCACAACUCGCGGACCUGCCCUAACCGCGGGGUCAAGCUCUUCGGGGUCCGAUUGACCGACGGGUCGAUCAGGAAAAGUGCUAGCAUGG